Molecule: ribosomal RNA, 482 nt
Filed under: uncultured bacterium
Lineage: Bacteria
Description: partial 16S ribosomal RNA
Rfam family: Bacterial small subunit ribosomal RNA
Source: RNAcentral
AUUGAACGCUGGCGGCAUGCUUUACGCAUGCAAGUCGAACGGUAACAGGCCGCAAGGUGCUGACGAGUGGCGAACGGGUGAGUAAUGCAUCGGAACGUGCCCAGUCGUGGGGGAUAACUACUCGAAAGAGUAGCUAAUACCGCAUACGAUCUAUGGAUGAAAGCGGGGGACCGUAAGGCCUCGCGCGAUUGGAGCGGCCGAUGUCAGAUUAGGUAGUUAGUGGGGUAAAGGCUCACCAAGCCAACGAUCUGUAGCUGGUCUGAGAGGACGACCAGCCACACUGGGACUGAGACACGGCCCAGACUCCUACGGGAGGCAGCAGUGGGGAAUUUUGGACAAUGGGCGCAAGCCUGAUCCAGCAAUGCCGCGUGCAGGAAGAAGGCCUUCGGGUUGUAAACUGCUUUUGUACGGAACGAAACGGCUCUGGUUAAUACCCGGGGCUAAUGACGGUACCGUAAGAAUAAGCACCGGCUAACUACGUG